UAUACGGCGAAACUGCGAAUGGCUCAUUAUAUAAGUUAUCGUUUAUUUGAUAGCACCUUACUACUUGGAUAACCGUGGUAAUUCUAGAGCUAAUACAUGCUGAAAACCCCGACCUCUGGGAGGGGUGUAUUUAUUAGAUUAAAAACCAAUGCCCUCUGGGCUCUCUGGUGAUUCAUGAUAACUCGUCGAAUCGCACGGCCUUGCGCCGGCGAUGGUUCAUUCAAAUUUCUUCCCUAUCAGCUUUCGAUGUUUGGGUAGUGGCCAAACAUGGCUGCAACGGGUAACGGAGGGUUAGGGCUCGACCCCGGAGAAGGAGCCUGAGAAACGGCUACUACAUCCAAGGAAGGCAGCAGGCGCGCAAAUUACCCAAUCCCGACACGGGGAGGUAGUGACAAUAAAUACUGAUACAGGGCUCUUUUGGGUCUUGUAAUUGGAAUGAGUACAAUUUAAAUCCCUUAACGAGGAACAAUUGGAGGGCAAGUCUGGUGCCAGCAGCCGCGGUAAUUCCAGCUCCAAUAGCGUAUAUUAAAGUUGUUGUGGUUAAAAAGCUCGUAGUUGAACCUUGGGCCUGGCUGGCCGGUCCGCCUCACCGCGUGCACUGGUCCGGCCGGGCCUUUCCCUCCGCGGAACCCCAUGCCCUUCACUGGGCGUGGCGGGGAAACGGGACUUUUACUUUGAAAAAAUUAGAGUGCUCCAGGCAGGCCUAUGCUCGAAUACAUUAGCAUGGAAUAAUGAAAUAGGACGCGCGGUUCUAUUUUGUUGGUUUCUAGGACCGCCGUAAUGAUUAAUAGGGACAGUCGGGGGCAUCAGUAUUCAAUUGUCAGAGGUGAAAUUCUUGGAUCAAUUGAAGACUAACUACUGCGAAAGCAUUUGCCAAGGAUGUUUUCAUUAAUCAGGAACGAAAGUUAGGGGAUCGAAGACGAUCAGAUACCGUCGUAGUCUUAACCAUAAACUAUGCCGACUAGGGAUCGGACGAUGUUAUUACUUGACUCGUUCGGCACCUUACGAGAAAUCAAAGUGCUUGGGCUCCA
RNAcentral lists this ribosomal RNA (1031 nucleotides) under Hirsutella sp. ARSEF 8378. Its description in RNAcentral is "SSU rRNA". It matches the Rfam family "Eukaryotic small subunit ribosomal RNA", at positions 75 to 1116 of the family's 1831-position model. Lineage: Eukaryota; Fungi; Ascomycota; Sordariomycetes; Hypocreales; Ophiocordycipitaceae. The record is from RNAcentral.